This 213-nucleotide ribosomal RNA is filed under the name uncultured bacterium. Its description in RNAcentral is "partial 16S ribosomal RNA". It matches the Rfam family "Bacterial small subunit ribosomal RNA", at positions 1287 to 1500 of the family's 1533-position model. The record is from RNAcentral.
CUCAGUUCGGAUUGUAGGCUGAAACUCGCCUACAUGAAGCUGGAGUUGCUAGUAAUCGCGAAUCAGCAUGUCGCGGUGAAUACGUUCCCGGGCCUUGUACACACCGCCCGUCACACCAUGAGAGUCGGGAACACCCGAAGUCCGUAGUCUAACCGCAAGGGGGCGCGGCCGAAGGUGGGUCCGGUAAUUGGGGUGAAGUCGUAACAAGGUAAC